UUCCUGGUGGCUCAGACGGUAAAGCGCCUGCCUGCAGUGCAGGAGACCCAGGUUCGAUCCCUGGGUUGGGAAG
Molecule: non-coding RNA, 73 nt
Organism: Capra hircus (goat)
Lineage: Eukaryota; Metazoa; Chordata; Mammalia; Artiodactyla; Bovidae
Source: the annotation of a RefSeq genome assembly